This 425-nucleotide ribosomal RNA is filed under the name uncultured bacterium. Its description in RNAcentral is "bacterial SSU rRNA". It matches the Rfam family "Bacterial small subunit ribosomal RNA", at positions 665 to 1089 of the family's 1533-position model. The record is from RNAcentral.
AAUUUCAGGUGUAGCGGUGAAAUGCGUAGAGAUCUGAAGGAAUACCAGUGGCGAAGGCGGCCCCCUGGACAGAUACUGACACUCAGAUGCGAAAGCGUGGGGAGCAAACAGGAUUAGAUACCCUGGUAGUCCACGCCGUAAACGAUGUCUACUUGGAGGUUGUGGCCUUGAGCCGUGGCUUUCGGAGCUAACGCGUUAAGUAGACCGCCUGGGGAGUACGGUCGCAAGAUUAAAACUCAAAUGAAUUGACGGGGGCCCGCACAAGCGGUGGAGCAUGUGGUUUAAUUUGUUGCAACGCGAAGAACCUUACCUACUCUUGACAUCCAGAGGAGCCAGCGAAGACGCAGGUGUGCCUUCGGGAGCUCUGAGACAGGUGCUGCAUGGCUGUCGUCAGCUCGUGUUGCGAAAUGUUGGGUUAAGUCCCC